AACCCGGCUGCGUGAAGCUGGAAUCGCUAGUAAUCGCGGAUCAGAAUGCCGCGGUGAAUACGUUCCCGGGUCUUGUACACACCGCCCGUCACACCAUGGGAGCCGGAAACGCCCGAAGCCAGCGGCCCAACCGCGAGGAGGGAGCUGUCGAAGGCGGGUCCGGUGACCGGGGUGAAGUCGUAACAAGGUACC
RNAcentral lists this ribosomal RNA (192 nucleotides) under uncultured bacterium. RNAcentral's name for it is "partial 16S ribosomal RNA". It matches the Rfam family "Bacterial small subunit ribosomal RNA", at positions 1309 to 1500 of the family's 1533-position model. The record is from RNAcentral.